This 497-nucleotide ribosomal RNA is filed under the name uncultured bacterium. RNAcentral's name for it is "partial 16S ribosomal RNA". It matches the Rfam family "Bacterial small subunit ribosomal RNA", at positions 28 to 507 of the family's 1533-position model. The record is from RNAcentral.
GAUGAACGCUGGCGGCGUGCCUAAUACAUGCAAGUCGAGCGAACAGACGAGGAGCUUGCUCCUUUGACGUUAGCGGCGGACGGGUGAGUAACACGUAGGUAAUCUACCUAUAAGACUGGGAUAACUUCGGGAAACCGGAGCUAAUACCGGAUAAUAUUUCGAACCGCAUGGUUCGAUAGUGAAAGAUGGCUUUGCUAUCACUUAUAGAUGGACCUGCGCCGUAUUAGCUAGUUGGUAAGGUAACGGCUUACCAAGGCAACGAUACGUAGCCGACCUGAGAGGGUGAUCGGCCGCACUGGAACUGAGACACGGUCCAGACUCCUACGGGAGGCAGCAGUAGGGAAUCUUCCGCAAUGGGCGAAAGCCUGACGGAGCAACGCCGCGUGAGUGAUGAAGGUCUUCGGAUCGUAAAACUCUGUUAUUAGGGAAGAACAAACGUGUAAGUAACUGUGCACGUCUUGACGGUACCUAAUCAGAAAGCCACGGCUAACUACGUG